RNAcentral lists this unclassified non-coding RNA (431 nucleotides) under plant metagenome. RNAcentral's name for it is "partial contains 5.8S ribosomal RNA, internal transcribed spacer 2, and large subunit ribosomal RNA". The stretch from base 1 to 102 matches the Rfam family "5.8S ribosomal RNA", at positions 50 to 154 of the family's 154-position model. The record is from RNAcentral.
AAACUGCGAUAAGUAGUGUGAAUUGCAUUUAGUGAAUCAUCGAAUCUUUGAACGCACCCUGCACUCACUGGUAUUCCGGUGAGUACGCCUGUUUCAGUAUCAUUGAAAACACACAAUCAAAACAUUUUCUUUGGUUUGAUUGGCUUUGGGUCUAUCAAAAAGUUUGGCUUGUUUCUUACAAGCCAAGCGGCCUGAAAUAUAUUGUCUGGCUAAUUGCAUCGUUGAUGAUCGCUAUUAGACUUUGGCUUUUUUAAAUGAACUGGAGGUUGAUUAACCAGUUUUAGCUUUAGUCAAAUGGUCAUUGUAAAAAAAAUCUCGAUCUUGGCCAGGUGUUUAUAGCCGAAAAUUUUUUUUUGGCUAUAACCGAAACCAAUAUAAUCACAUUUAGUUAUCGAUCUGAAAUCAGGUGGGACUACCCGCUGAACUUAAGC